Molecule: ribosomal RNA, 492 nt
Filed under: uncultured bacterium
Lineage: Bacteria
Description: partial 16S ribosomal RNA
Rfam family: Bacterial small subunit ribosomal RNA
Source: RNAcentral
AGUGAACGCUGGCGGUAGGCCUAACACAUGCCAGUCGAACGGCAGCACAGUAAGAGCUUGCUCUUACGGGUGGCGAGUGGCGGACGGGUGAGGAAUACAUCGGAAUCUACUUUUUCGUGGGGGAUAACGUAGGGAAACUUACGCUAAUACCGCAUACGACCUACGGGUGAAAGCAGGGGAUCUUCGGACCUUGCGCGAUUGAAUGAGCCGAUGUCGGAUUAGCUAGUUGGCGGGGUAAAGGCCCACCAAGGCGACGAUCCGUAGCUGGUCUGAGAGGAUGAUCAGCCACACUGGAACUGAGACACGGUCCAGACUCCUACGGGAGGCAGCAGUGGGGAAUAUUGGACAAUGGGCGCAAGCCUGAUCCAGCCAUACCGCGUGAGUGAAGAAGGCCUUCGGGUUGUAAAGCCCUUUUGUUGGGAAAGAAAAGCAGCAGGUUAAUACCCCGCUGUUCUGACGGUACCCAAAGAAUAAGCACCGGCUAACUUCGUG